This 459-nucleotide ribosomal RNA is filed under the name uncultured bacterium. RNAcentral describes it as "SSU rRNA". It matches the Rfam family "Bacterial small subunit ribosomal RNA", at positions 26 to 518 of the family's 1533-position model. The record is from RNAcentral.
AGAACGAACGCUGGCGGCAUGCCUAACACAUGCAAGUCGAACGCUCUUGGGGCUUCGGUUCCAAGGGAGUGGCGCACGGGUGAGUAGCGCGUGGGAACCUGCCCUGGAGUGGGGGAUAACCGAGGGAAACUUCGGCUAAUACCGCAUGCGCCCGGGAAACCGGGGAAAGAUUUAUCGCUCUAGGAGGGGCCCGCGUCGGAUUAGCUAGUUGGUGGGGUAACGGCCUACCAAGGCUUUGAUCCGUAGCUGGUCUGAGAGGAUGAUCAGCCACACUGGGACUGAGACACGGCCCAGACUCCUACGGGAGGCAGCAGUGGGGAAUAUUGGAUAAUGGGCGCAAGCCUGAUCCAGCAAUGCCGCGUGAGUGAUGAAGGCCUUCGGGUUGUAAAGCUCUUUCGCACGCGAGGAUGAUGACGCUAGCGUGAGAAGAAGCCCGGCUAACUUCGCGCCAGCAGCCGC